RNAcentral lists this ribosomal RNA (260 nucleotides) under uncultured bacterium. Its description in RNAcentral is "partial 16S ribosomal RNA". It matches the Rfam family "Bacterial small subunit ribosomal RNA", at positions 94 to 354 of the family's 1533-position model. The record is from RNAcentral.
AGUGGCGGACGGGUGAGUAACGCGUGAGCAACCUGCCCUUCGGAGGGGGAUAGUGUCUGGAAACGGACAGUAAUACCGCAUAACGUAUUGAUACCGCAUGAUAUUGAUACCAAAACUGAGGUGCCGAAGGAUGGGCUCGCGUUGGAUUAGAUAGUUGGUGGGGUAACGGCCUACCAAGUCGACGAUCCAUAGCCGGACUGAGAGGUUGAACGGCCACAUUGGGACUGAGACACGGCCCAGACUCCUACGGGAGGCAGCAG